Molecule: ribosomal RNA, 87 nt
Filed under: Codiaeum variegatum
Lineage: Eukaryota; Viridiplantae; Streptophyta; Magnoliopsida; Malpighiales; Euphorbiaceae
Description: partial 5.8S ribosomal RNA
Rfam family: 5.8S ribosomal RNA
About the family: 5.8S ribosomal RNA (5.8S rRNA) is a component of the large subunit of the eukaryotic ribosome.
Source: RNAcentral
UGCAGAAUCCCGCGAACCAUCGAGUUUUUGAACGCAAGUUGCGCCCGAAGCCUUUUGGCUGAGGGCACGUCUGCCUGGGUGUCACGC